GACGGAGGGGGCAAGCGUUGUCCGGAAUUACUGGGCGUAAAGCGCUCGUAGGCGGUUAUGUACGGCGGUGGUGAAAGCUCUCGGCUCAACUGAGAGAGGCCCGUCGCAACGGCAUGACUCGAGGGUGGUAGAGGCAAAUGGAAUUCUAGGUGUAGCGGUGAAAUGCGUAGAGAUCUGGAGGAACACCCGUGGCGAAGGCGGUUUGCUGGGCCACACCUGACGCUGAGGAGCGAAAGCCAGGGGAGCGAACGGG
Molecule: ribosomal RNA, 253 nt
Filed under: uncultured bacterium
Lineage: Bacteria
Description: partial 16S ribosomal RNA
Rfam family: Bacterial small subunit ribosomal RNA
Source: RNAcentral